AAUAGAUACCCAGGUAGUCCACGCCGUAAACGAUGAGUGCUAAGUGUUAGAGGGUUUCCGCCCUUUAGUGCUGCAGCUAACGCAUUAAGCACUCCGCCUGGGGAGUACGGUCGCAAGACUGAAACUCAAAGGAAUUGACGGGGGCCCGCACAAGCGGUGGAGCAUGUGGUUUAAUUCGAAGCAACGCGAAGAACCUUACCAGGUCUUGACAUCCUCUGACAACUCUAGAGAUAGAGCGUUCCCCUUCGGGGGACAGAGUGACAGGUGGUGCAUGGUUGUCGUCAGCUCGUGUCGUGAGAUGUUGGGUUAAGUCCCGCAACGAGCGCAACCCUUGAUCUUAGUUGCCAGCAUUCAGUUGGGCACUCUAAGGUGACUGCCGGUGACAAACCGGAGGAAGUGGGGAUGACGUCAAAUCAUCAUGCCCCUUAUGACCUGGGCUACACACGUGCUACAAUGGAUGGUACAAAGGGCUGCGAGACCGCGAGGUCAAGCCAAUCCCAUAAACCAUUCUCAGUUCGGAUUGUACG
This 527-nucleotide ribosomal RNA is filed under the name uncultured bacterium. RNAcentral describes it as "bacterial SSU rRNA". It matches the Rfam family "Bacterial small subunit ribosomal RNA", at positions 777 to 1304 of the family's 1533-position model. The record is from RNAcentral.